Molecule: long non-coding RNA, 574 nt
Organism: Fukomys damarensis (Damara mole-rat)
Lineage: Eukaryota; Metazoa; Chordata; Mammalia; Rodentia; Bathyergidae
Exons: 3
Source: RefSeq, a predicted model, not a curated record
AGAAGCACCAUGGAAAGGCAGAGGGUGAAGGGAUACGCAGGUGGGGGUACAAUUACUGUUCAAGAUCCUCCCCCACAAAAUCAAUGAUUUAAAUGAUAAAAUGGAAGAGACGAAAAAGAGUUAAGGAAAAAAAAGGAGUGAGAUAACUUCAGUACUUUAGUGAGAAUGAAGUUAUUCACAGGUAAAUAGGUUCUUAGCUUUUCUCCCCAUUGACAUAUGCCAAACAUAAUAGUGACAAACAAAUAAAGGACAAAGGCAUUCCAUGCAAAAGCCUGCAUCAUUUCCUACAAUUCCCUUAGAGCUACAAUUAAUUAACAGUGCAAGGAAAAAUAAACCAGAAAGGCAGAUGUGGACUUAACAGAAGAGAGAAGCCCUAAUGAAGUCCUCUGGUACAACAGUCACCAGCUCAAUCAGACGUGAGAUGCCACCUAAAGUUUUAGAACUGAGUGGUAUGGAGAUUGUGCCUGACUCAUAAUAUUUUAUUUAAGGAAAACAAAAAAGUCAAUAUCACAGAGAAAACAUUAUCAAUAAAACCAGCCAAAGGAUAACAUUCUUCAAUUCAAACAAAAAUCAA